RNAcentral lists this ribosomal RNA (253 nucleotides) under uncultured bacterium. RNAcentral's name for it is "partial 16S ribosomal RNA". It matches the Rfam family "Bacterial small subunit ribosomal RNA", at positions 524 to 776 of the family's 1533-position model. The record is from RNAcentral.
UACGUAGGGGGCAAGCGUUGUCCGGAAUCAUUGGGCGUAAAGCGCGUGUAGGCGGCUUGGUAAGUCUGCUCUGAAAGCCCGGGGCUCAACCCCGGGAGGCGGGUGGAUACUGUCAAGCUCGAGUCCGGAAGAGGCGAGUGGAAUUCCAGGUGUAGCGGUGAAAUGCGUAGAUAUCUGGAGGAACACCGGUGGCGAAGGCGGCGUCCUGGACCAACACUGACACUGAGGAGCGAAAGCCAGGGGAGCAAACGGG